GUCUCAGUUCGGACUGUGGUCUGCAACCCGACCACACGAAGCUGGAAUCGCUAGUAAUCGCGAAUCAGAAUGUCGCGGUGAAUGCGUUCCCGGGCCUUGUACACACCGCCCGUCACACCAUGAGAGUCGGGGACACCCGAAGUCCGUAGUCUAACCGCAAGGGGACGCGGCCGAAGGUGGAUUCGAUAAUUGGGGUGAAGUCGUAACAAGGUAAC
This 215-nucleotide ribosomal RNA is filed under the name uncultured bacterium. RNAcentral describes it as "partial 16S ribosomal RNA". It matches the Rfam family "Bacterial small subunit ribosomal RNA", at positions 1285 to 1500 of the family's 1533-position model. The record is from RNAcentral.